Molecule: long non-coding RNA, 739 nt
Organism: Papaver somniferum (opium poppy)
Lineage: Eukaryota; Viridiplantae; Streptophyta; Magnoliopsida; Ranunculales; Papaveraceae
Exons: 4
Source: RefSeq, a predicted model, not a curated record
CACAAUUUUACACUGCUUCUGCUUUCCGAAUCGUUCCGUGAUUCAAUUUGUUGUUAUGAUUGUACUAAGAAAUGCGUAAGUCUUGGAAGUCGGCCCUGCUCAUCUUCUUAACACCAAACUUGGCAACCUUGAGACUUCGAGUACAUUCACAAGAGGAGCUAAUAAAGUUGGAAACGUGUGCAAGGAGGUCCUUUACUUUGCAAGAAAAGAGAACAGGCAGUGACAUGUACCAACCAGGCUUCUCUUGAUCUCUGCGACUAAUUACAGACUUGUCAAUAUUGGUUCAUUCAGGCACAAAUUGCAGAACUACAAAAUAGGUUGUGUUCAUUGCACUCAACAGAGGAUGAGUUACAAGUGUUAAGGAACCAGAAACCAGCCUUUGAGAGAGAUAGGAGUUCACUACUAAGGGUACAACGCAGAAACAAAAAUCAUGUGGAGUUUGGCAGUAGAUUGCAGGAGGUACACGCAUCUCAUAAAGUACUAAGAUUCAAAACUUGAAAUGAGGGGUUGUGCAAUAUUCUGACGAAUAAGUAGCACCUAGCAAAAAAUUUCCGCUGACAAAUUUAUAUAUCCGUAAGCCUGACAUCAUUUGAAUAAUCUUAUUUCAUGUGGAAGAUGCGCAAGCCUGCACUUCUCUAGCAAGUUUCAGAUGUUGUGGGAAGAAAUAGAAUUAUACAAGAUUUCUUCAAUUUAAUAUACUUGCUUGUUGGAAGUUUUACCUGUAUUAAAUUUAUCAUAU